UACGUAGGGUGCAUGCGUUAAUCGGAAUUACUGGGCGUAAAGCGUGCGCAGGCGGUUUGUUAAGACAGGUGUGAAAUCCCCGAGCUCAACUUGGGAAUUGCGCUUGUAACUGGCAAGCUAGAGUGUGGCAGAGGGGGGUGGAAUUCCACGUGUAGCAGUGAAAUGCGUAGAUAUGUGGAGGAACACCGAUGGCGAAGGCAGCUCCCUGGGUUAACACUGACGCUGAUGCACGAAAGCGUGGGGAGCGAACAGG
RNAcentral lists this ribosomal RNA (253 nucleotides) under uncultured bacterium. RNAcentral describes it as "partial 16S ribosomal RNA". It matches the Rfam family "Bacterial small subunit ribosomal RNA", at positions 524 to 776 of the family's 1533-position model. The record is from RNAcentral.